GGCCUAUCAGCUUGUUGGUGAGGUAAUGGCUCACCAAGGCGACGACGGGUAGCCGGCCUGAGAGGGUGACCGGCCACACUGGGACUGAGACACGGCCCAGACUCCUACGGGAGGCAGCAGUGGGGAAUAUCGCACAAUGGGCGCAAGCCUGAUGCAGCGACGCCGCGUGAGGGAUGACGGCCUUCGGGUUGUAAACCUCUUUCAGUAGGGAAGAAGCCUUCGGGUGACGGUACCUGCAGAAGAAGCGCCGGCUAACUACGUGCCAGCAGCCGCGGUAAUACGUAGGGCGCGAGCGUUAUCCGGAAUUAUUGGGCGUAAAGAGCUCGUAGGCGGUUUGUCGCGUCUGCUGUGAAAGCCCGGGGCUUAACUCCGGGUGUGCAGUGGGUACGGGCAGACUAGAGUGCAGUAGGGGAGACUGGAAUUCCUGGUGUAGCGGUGAAAUGCGCAGAUAUCAGGAGGAACACCGAUGGCGAAGGCAGGUCUCUGGGCUGUUACUGACGCUGAGGAGCGAAAGCAUGGGGAGCGAACAGGAUUAGAUACCCUGGUAGUCCAUGCCGUAAACGUUGGGCACUAGGUGUGGGGGACAUUCCACGUUUUCCGCGCCGUAGUUAACGCAUUAAGUGCCCCGCCUGGGGAGUACGG
This 642-nucleotide ribosomal RNA is filed under the name uncultured Citricoccus sp. Its description in RNAcentral is "bacterial SSU rRNA". It matches the Rfam family "Bacterial small subunit ribosomal RNA", at positions 235 to 885 of the family's 1533-position model. The record is from RNAcentral. Lineage: Bacteria; Bacillati; Actinomycetota; Actinomycetes; Micrococcales; Micrococcaceae.